UACGUAGGUGACAAGCGUUGUCCGGAUUUAAUGGGCGUAAAGAGCGCGCAGGCGGUCGAUCAAGUCGAGUGUGAAAGCCCCCGGCUCAACUGGGGAGGGUCAUUCGAAACUGGUCGACUCGAAGGCAGGAGAGGGUAGUGGAAUUCCCGGUGUAGUGGUGAAAUGCGUAGAUAUCGGGAGGAACACCAGUGGCGAAGGCGACUACCUGGCCUGUUCUUGACGCUGAGGAGCGAAAGCUAGGGGAGCAAACGGG
This 253-nucleotide ribosomal RNA is filed under the name uncultured bacterium. RNAcentral's name for it is "partial 16S ribosomal RNA". It matches the Rfam family "Bacterial small subunit ribosomal RNA", at positions 524 to 776 of the family's 1533-position model. The record is from RNAcentral.